RNAcentral lists this ribosomal RNA (273 nucleotides) under uncultured bacterium. RNAcentral describes it as "partial 16S ribosomal RNA". It matches the Rfam family "Bacterial small subunit ribosomal RNA", at positions 524 to 796 of the family's 1533-position model. The record is from RNAcentral.
UACGGAGGGGGCUAGCGUUGUUCGGAAUUACUGGGCGUAAAGCGCGCGUAGGCGGCUUUGUAAGUUAGAGGUGAAAGCCCGGGGCUCAACUCCGGAACUGCCUUUAAGACUGCAUCGCUAGAAUCGUGGAGAGGUGAGUGGAAUUCCGAGUGUAGAGGUGAAAUUCGUAGAUAUUCGGAAGAACACCAGUGGCGAAGGCGACUCACUGGACACGUAUUGACGCUGAGGUGCGAAAGCGUGGGGAGCAAACAGGAUUAGAAACCCCUGUAGUCC